CACGUAGGGGGCGAGCGUUGUCCGGAAUUAUUGGGCGUAAAGAGCUCGUAGGCGGCUUGUUGCGUCGUCCGUGAAAUCCCGUGGCUCAACUGCGGGCUUGCGGACGAUACGGGCAGGCUAGAGUUCGGUAGGGGAGACUGGAAUUCCUGGUGUAGCGGUGAAAUGCGCAGAUAUCAGGAGGAACACCGAUGGCGAAGGCAGGUCUCUGGGCCGAUACUGACGCUGAGGAGCGAAAGCGUGGGGAGCGAACAGG
RNAcentral lists this ribosomal RNA (253 nucleotides) under uncultured bacterium. Its description in RNAcentral is "partial 16S ribosomal RNA". It matches the Rfam family "Bacterial small subunit ribosomal RNA", at positions 524 to 776 of the family's 1533-position model. The record is from RNAcentral.